GUUUCUUGAAUCUGAUGCCACGUAAGGUCUGGAUGUGCAGAUCCUCUACUUCGCACGCAUGCCAGACUGCAUAGGAAAGUAGAAUGAGCCUCGAGGCAUUAAUCUCUCAAAAGGGGAGCAAGGGAUGGUGGGGAUCAGAUCUCCACACACCUGGAAGGGACUCUUCAUACCAAGAAAAGAGAGCACCAAAGAACCCAUGCAAAACCC
This 207-nucleotide long non-coding RNA is filed under the name Elaeis guineensis (African oil palm). RNAcentral describes it as "long non-coding RNA (EGUI_LNC043462)". Lineage: Eukaryota; Viridiplantae; Streptophyta; Magnoliopsida; Arecales; Arecaceae. The record is from RNAcentral.